This 583-nucleotide long non-coding RNA is filed under the name Vigna radiata. RNAcentral's name for it is "long non-coding RNA (VRAD_LNC008894)". The record is from RNAcentral. Lineage: Eukaryota; Viridiplantae; Streptophyta; Magnoliopsida; Fabales; Fabaceae.
GUUGGGGAUGUGCCUAACAACCAGCAGUUUCCAUCAUAAAACAAGGCAACCCCAUCACCUAAAUAUACAUUAUAAGGAGACAUAUCCUCACUUUUCAGCCCCAAUUCCUCCACCAAUCUGGUGGAAAUAAGGCUAUGACUCGUCCCACUGUCAAUCAACACCAAUACCUUUCUCCUUUGCACUCAACCUCGCAGUUUCAUUGUUUUAGAUUACGUUAAACCACCUGCAGAUAAUAUAGAUAACUCCAUGUUUUUUGUUCAAUUUUGGGACCCUCCUCUACCUCAUCUUCUUCGUCUUCCUCCCCUCCGUCGGCUUUGACAGUUCCCUUCGACAAUCCCUGAUACGUCUCUAUCCUCGUGACUGUCCCCGAGCUUGAGUUACAUCUUCCCUCCUGUCGCUCUGUUGCCAGCUCCUCACAAAUGGUGCCUCGAUUUAGUCCGCCAAACCUCCGUGUUAGAGUAUCGGUGAACAUCUUCCAAGUCGGAUGUGUGGUUUUCUUCCGCCAGAAGCAGAACCAAAAGCUCGCUAAACUUCCCUCCAUGCAUCUAUAGACGAACUUCAUCUUCUCCUUCUUCGUCACGCG